Molecule: long non-coding RNA, 288 nt
Filed under: Phasianus colchicus (ring-necked pheasant)
Lineage: Eukaryota; Metazoa; Chordata; Aves; Galliformes; Phasianidae
Description: lncRNA (ENSPCLG00000017108.1)
Source: RNAcentral
CUCUGUAGGGUGGCUCUAUGGGGUGGGUUCUGUAGGGUGGCUCUGUAGGGUGGCUCUGUAGGGUGGCUCUGUAGGGUGGCUCUAUGGGGUGGGUUCUGUAGGGCGGCUCUAUGGGGUGGCGGAUUGUUCCCUAUUGUCUUGCUUGGAUCUGUGGGGUCUUGUAGGAUCUGUGGGGUCAGAUCUGUGGGGUCAGAUCUAUGGGGUCGGAUCUGUGGGGCUCAUUGAGAUCUAUGGGGUCAGAUCUAUGGGGUCAGAUCUGUGGGGUCAGAUCUAUGGGGUCGGGUCUGU